Molecule: unclassified non-coding RNA, 325 nt
Filed under: Haliotis rubra (blacklip abalone)
Lineage: Eukaryota; Metazoa; Mollusca; Gastropoda; Lepetellida; Haliotidae
Description: elongation factor 1-alpha 1-like, transcript variant X1
Source: RNAcentral
UGAUCUGACAGGUUAUCACGUGAUCUCAUGACGUUUCAUGCACGCGAUCAUCCGACCGCCAGACAGUCAAGACGACUAAGUUGACCAACACCUUCUGAUAGACAUCACCCGGUGUUUCAGUAACAGACACGAUGACGAGGGAAAAGACUCACAUCAGCAUCGUUGUGAUCGGCCACGUGGACUCGGGGAAGUCAACAACUACUGGUCAUCUCAUCUACAAGUGUGGAGGAAUUGACAAAAGGACAAUUGAGAAGUUUGAGAAGGAAGCCCAAGAGGGCCAUAAUGGGCAAGACACGUGCUGAAAUUCAGCGUGCCUACAGAGAAA